CAGUAGCCACGGUAAUACGUAGGGUGCGAGCGUUAAUCGGAAUUACUGGGCGUAAAGCGUGCGCAGGCGGUUUUGUAAGACAGGCGUGAAAUCCCCGGGCUCAACCUGGGAAUGGCGCUUGUGACUGCAAAGCUAGAGUGCGGCAGAGGGGGAUGGAAUUCCGCGUGUAGCAGUGAAAUGCGUAGAUAUGCGGAGGAACACCGAUGGCGAAGGCAAUCCCCUGGGCCUGCACUGACGCUCAUGCACGAAAGCGUGUGGAGCAAACAGGAUUAGAUACCCGAGUAGUCCCUGUCUCUUAUAA
Molecule: ribosomal RNA, 301 nt
Filed under: uncultured bacterium
Lineage: Bacteria
Description: partial 16S ribosomal RNA
Rfam family: Bacterial small subunit ribosomal RNA
Source: RNAcentral